CCUUCCUCCAAGCCAUAGGUCCCCUUCUCUUCUUCUCCAAACCCAAGUUUUCCCUCAAGACUCUUCUCCCACCGCCUCUUACACCUCAAAUCGACCCUUAGGAACCACGUUCCUCCCCUUCUCCCUCUUCAUUUGGAGCGAUUUGAGUGUGCCCUAGAUUCUACCCGUCUCUUCCAAAUCGGGGUAUCACUCCUCCAAAAAUCCCUAUCCUUCCACUAGAAACCCUUCAUCUCUCCCUCACAUUUGCUCUCCCAAGCUCCAUGCUAGUCUCGUCAGUGC
Molecule: long non-coding RNA, 279 nt
Filed under: Elaeis guineensis (African oil palm)
Lineage: Eukaryota; Viridiplantae; Streptophyta; Magnoliopsida; Arecales; Arecaceae
Description: long non-coding RNA (EGUI_LNC078593)
Source: RNAcentral